CAGCCGCCGCGGGAAUACGAAGGGUGCAAGCGUUAAUCGGAAUUACUGGGCGUAAAGCGUGCGCAGGCGGUUAUAUAAGACAGUUGUGAAAUCCCCGGGCUCAACCUGGGAACUGCAUCUGUGACUGUAUAGCUAGAGUACGGUAGAGGGGGAUGGAAUUCCGCGUGUAGCAGUGAAAUGCGUAGAUAUGCGGAGGAACACCGAUGGCGAAGGCAAUCCCCUGGACCUGUACUGACGCUCAUGCACGAAAGCGUGGGGAGCAAACAGGAUUAGAUACCCCGGUAGUCCCUGUCUCUUAUAA
Molecule: ribosomal RNA, 301 nt
Filed under: uncultured bacterium
Lineage: Bacteria
Description: partial 16S ribosomal RNA
Rfam family: Bacterial small subunit ribosomal RNA
Source: RNAcentral